GAUGAAGAACGUAGCGAAAUGCGAUAAGUAAUGCGAAUUGCAGAAUUCAGUGAAUCAUCGAAACUUUGAACGCACAUUGCGCCCGCCAGUAUUCUGGCGGGCAUGCCUGUCUGAGCGUCGUUUCGACCCUCGCGCCCGGCUUCUGUCGGGGGCGGUGUUGGGGAUCGGCCACACCCUUCAGUGGGAGGCCGGCCCCUAAAUUCAGUGGCGACCACGCUGUAGCCUCCCCUGCGUAGUACUAAAACCACCUCGCAGGCGGAGAGCGGUGCGGCCCGCCGUAAAACCCCCCAACUUUUACAAGGUCGACCUCAGAUCAGGUAGGAAUACCCGCUGAACUUAAGCAUAUCAAUAAGCGGAGGA
Molecule: unclassified non-coding RNA, 360 nt
Filed under: soil metagenome
Description: partial contains 5.8S ribosomal RNA, internal transcribed spacer 2, and large subunit ribosomal RNA
Rfam family: 5.8S ribosomal RNA (bases 1-120)
Source: RNAcentral